UGAUAAUAGUAAUACAAAUACUAAAAAUUUACACCGUUCUAUUGAAUGUGCAACUCUGAUUAAUAGGCGGUGAGCCUUCAUUUAGGCUGUCCAACAACGGGUGCGUGAUAAGUACGAAACGCGGGUCUGACGACGAAUGACAAGUUCAGGAAACAAACUAAUGACGAAGUACGAACGGGCGUGCCUGUGAGAGUAGUGCACCGGGUCGUGCCCCUGCUGGUGUGGCGUUCAAGGCUGUGGGACACACUCACGUUUCUGCUCGUCCGUGCUCGUCCAUGCUCGUCCAUUUUCC
This 292-nucleotide long non-coding RNA is filed under the name Volvox carteri. RNAcentral's name for it is "long non-coding RNA (VCAR_LNC002987)". Lineage: Eukaryota; Viridiplantae; Chlorophyta; Chlorophyceae; Chlamydomonadales; Volvocaceae. The record is from RNAcentral.